This 616-nucleotide ribosomal RNA is filed under the name uncultured bacterium. Its description in RNAcentral is "bacterial SSU rRNA". It matches the Rfam family "Bacterial small subunit ribosomal RNA", at positions 130 to 780 of the family's 1533-position model. The record is from RNAcentral.
CCCCAAGUCAGGGAUAGCCAUUGGAAACGAUGAUUAAUACCGGAUAGUCUCUACGGAGUAAAAAUUUAUUGCUUGGGGAGGAGUCUACAUUCUAUCAGUUAGUUGGUGAGGUAAAAGCUCACCAAGACUAUGACGGAUAGCUGGUCUGAGAGGAUGAUCAGCCACAAUGAAACUGAGACACGGUUCAUACUCCUACGGGAGGCAGCAGUGAGGAAUCUUCCACAAUGGACGAAAGUCUGAUGGAGCGACACCGCGUGAAGGAUGAAGGCCUAACGGUUGUAAACUUCUUUUCUGAAGGAGCAUAAUGAGAGUACUUCAGGAAUAAGGGACGGCUAAAUACGUGCCAGCAGCCGCGGUAAUACGUAUGUCCCGAGUGUUACCCGGAAUCAUUGGGUGUAAAGGGUUCGUAGGCGGAUAAUUAAGUUGGGUAUUAAAGACCGAGGCUCAACCUCGUGUUUGUGCCCAAAACUGAUUGUCUAGAAUUAGGGAGAGGUAAGUGGAAUUCUGUGUGUAGGGGUGCAAUCCGUAGAUACACAGAGGAACACCAAAAGCGAAGGCAACUUACUGGAACUAUAUUGACGCUGAUGAACGAAAGCGUGGGUAGCGAAAAGGAUUA